This 371-nucleotide ribosomal RNA is filed under the name uncultured bacterium. Its description in RNAcentral is "bacterial SSU rRNA". It matches the Rfam family "Bacterial small subunit ribosomal RNA", at positions 527 to 896 of the family's 1533-position model. The record is from RNAcentral.
GAAGGGUGCAAGCGUUACUCGGAAUUACUGGGCGUAAAGCGUGCGUAGGUGGUUCGUUAAGUCUGCCGUGAAAGCCCCGGGCUCAACCUGGGAAUGGCGGUGGAUACUGGCGGACUAGAGUGCGGUAGAGGGUGGUGGAAUUCCCGGUGUAGCAGUGAAAUGCGUAGAGAUCGGGAGGAACAUCUGUGGCGAAGGCGGCCACCUGGACCAGCACUGACACUGAGGCACGAAAGCGUGGGGAGCAAACAGGAUUAGAUACCCUGGUAGUCCACGCCCUAAACGAUGCGAACUGGACGUUGGGCUCAAUUGAGAGCUCAGUGUCGAAGCUAACGCGUUAAGUUCGCCGCCUGGGGAGUACGGUCGCAAGACUG